CCCGAGUCCUUCUCUUUCUCCUUCUCUUUCUCCUAUACGCUGAAACAGACUCUCUCAUUCUCCUCUACCCCACCGACGGCUUCUAAGGCAAGAGACAAGAAAACCCUUUUCUCUUUUCUCUUCACCGUCGACCCUAAGGCAUACAAAAGGGGGAGAAAACUUCGCAAGUCCCCUCCUUCGCAUGAGAAAGACCUUUCGGUUUCCUCCAAGCCGUGUAGAUCCCUUUCACUUCUCCAGUCGAUUUCCCUUGUUUUCCUGAACCUGAGCUUUUCACCGAAACCAUUCAAGAAGAUCAACCUUUUGAGAUUCCCGAAAUUUCCUUUCUCUUUCCGUGUUGCUGUGUACCUCUGUGACUCCAAAAGAGAUCCACGCAGGAGUGUAAUUGCAAGAUUUAAAGACUACUUGUAAAGCUUCGAGGUAUGAAUGAGGAUGCUGCGGAGCUGGGUGCUGCUGAGGAGGUAGGGGCUGAAGUUUAGAGUUCCCGGUUGGUUUGAUUUGGAGGACAGUGAUUAUGUUUUCCUUAUGUUUUUAUUUUGGGUCCCAUGUUGGGACGUUCUGUUGGUUUGACUUUAAAACAAUAUGCCUUUGGGCAACAGUGCAAGUACUAUGGUGGGGUGAUGGUAAUGGCGUAUUUUCUAUGGUUGGGUGAUGGUAACCCCACAUAGGAAAGUUAAACGCCCUUUUAUAUGUGUUAUGGGGGACUGAGUCCCCUCUUAAUUUGAACCAAUAUGUUUUUGAUAAUUGGAUGAUGGGCUUUGAGAGUCCUCUAUUUUGAAUUC
Long non-coding RNA from Juglans regia (Persian walnut), 779 nucleotides. RefSeq lists it as uncharacterized. The transcript has 4 exons. NCBI's taxonomy places the organism in Eukaryota, Viridiplantae, Streptophyta, Magnoliopsida, Fagales, Juglandaceae. The record is from RefSeq and is a predicted model, not a curated record.